Molecule: ribosomal RNA, 857 nt
Filed under: Verrucosispora sp. enrichment culture clone SEQ45_9CClone_AER
Lineage: Bacteria; Bacillati; Actinomycetota; Actinomycetes; Micromonosporales; Micromonosporaceae
Description: bacterial SSU rRNA
Rfam family: Bacterial small subunit ribosomal RNA
Source: RNAcentral
UUUGGGAUAACCCUCGGAAACGGGGGCUAAUACCGAAUAUUCACUUGCGGACGCAUGUUUGUGGGUGGAAAGUUUUUCGGCUUGGGAUGGGCUCGCGGCCUAUCAGCUUGUUGGUGGGGUGAUGGCCUACCAAGGCGACGACGGGUAGCCGGCCUGAGAGGGCGACCGGCCACACUGGGACUGAGACACGGCCCAAGACUCCUACGGGAGGCAGCAGUGGGGAAUAUUGCACAAUGGGCGGAAGCCUGAUGCAGCGACGCCGCGUGAGGGAUGUAUNCGGCUCUUCGGGGUUGUAAACCUCUUUCAGCAGGGACGAAGCGUGAGUGACGGUACCUGCAGAAGAAGCGCCGGCCAACUACGUGCCAGCAGCCGCGGUAAGACGUAGGGCGCGAGCGUUGUCCGGAUUUAUUGGGCGUAAAGAGCUCGUAGGCGGCUUGUCGCGUCGACUGUGAAAACCCGUGGCUCAACUGCGGGCCUGCAGUCGAUACGGGCAGGCUAGAGUUCGGUAGGGGAGACUGGAAUUCCUGGUGUAGCGGUGAAAUGCGCAGAUAUCAGGAGGAACACCGGUGGCGAAGGCGGGUCUCUGGGCCGAUACUGACGCUGAGGAGCGAAAGCGUGGGGAGCGAACAGGAUUAGAUACCCUGGUAGUCCACGCUGUAAACGUUGGGCGCUAGGUGUGGGGGGCCUCUCCGGUUCUCUGUGCCGCAGCUAACGCAUUAAGCGCCCCGCCUGGGGAGUACGGCCGCAAGGCUAAAACUCAAAGGAAUUGACGGGGGCCUGCACAAGCGGCGGAGCAUGCGGAUUAAUUCGAUGCAACGCGAAGAACCUUCCCUGGGUUUGACAUCGCCGGAAAUCUC